AUGAGGAGAACUGAGGAGCACGCCGCGUGAACGAUGAAGGUUUUCGGAUCGUAAAGUUCUGUUGUUAGGGAAGAACACGUUACCGUUCGAAUAGGGCGGUAUCUUUGACGGUACCUAACGAGAAAGCCCCGGCUAACUACGUGCCAGCAGCCGCGGUAAUACGA
Molecule: ribosomal RNA, 164 nt
Filed under: uncultured Bacillota bacterium
Lineage: Bacteria; Bacillati; Bacillota
Description: uncultured Firmicutes bacterium partial 16S ribosomal RNA
Rfam family: Bacterial small subunit ribosomal RNA
Source: RNAcentral